AGUGAACGCUGGCGGUAGGCCUAACACAUGCAAGUCGAACGGCAGCACAGGAGAGCUUGCUCUCUAGGUGGCGAGUGGCGGACGGGUGAGGAAUACAUCGGAAUCUGCCCAGUCGUGGGGGAUAACGUAGGGAAACUUACGCUAAUACCGCAUACGACCUUCGGGUGAAAUGAGGGGGAUCGCAAGACCUCUCGCGAUUGGAUGAGCCGAUGUCGGAUUAGCUAGUUAGCGGGGUAAUGGCCCACCAAGGCGACGAUCCGUAGCUGGUCUGAGAGGAUGAUCAGCCACACUGGAACUGAGACACGGUCCAGACUCCUACGGGAGGCAGCAGUGGGGAAUAUUGGACAAUGGGCGCAAGCCUGAUCCAGCCAUACCGCGUGGGUGAAGAAGGCCUUCGGGUUGUAAAGCCCUUUUGUUGGGAAAGAAAUCUUUCAGGCUAAUACCCUGGGAGGAUGACGGUACCCAAAGAAUAAGCACCGGCUAACUUCGUG
Molecule: ribosomal RNA, 491 nt
Filed under: uncultured bacterium
Lineage: Bacteria
Description: partial 16S ribosomal RNA
Rfam family: Bacterial small subunit ribosomal RNA
Source: RNAcentral